Molecule: long non-coding RNA, 767 nt
Filed under: Panax ginseng (ginseng)
Lineage: Eukaryota; Viridiplantae; Streptophyta; Magnoliopsida; Apiales; Araliaceae
Description: long non-coding RNA (PGIN_LNC006667)
Source: RNAcentral
CCCAAUUCAGGAGUUGUUCUGAAAAAAGAGUAAGGCAUGAAAGAAAACAAUUUGGUUUCUAAUUUAUGAUUUUUUCUCAUGAGUUUUUAAUCCACAACUUGAAAUUUGUUUUGUAUACAUGCGCACUGCUAAAUCACAGAUGACUCAAAUUUGAUUUGUAUACCUGCGCACUGCUAAAUCUGCCCCUCUCUUCGAAUCUGUCGAUCGGGAAAAGGUCACUUUCCCUCUCUCUUUGUAUAUAUGCGUGUAUCAAUGUGCUUAUCUACUUGUGAGAAUUUGUAUCUAUACAUAAUUAUCCAUACAUCUAUAAACACACACACGAAUAUAUUGGUUUGAAGUUUUCAUCUUUUAACUUUUAGCUUUUCUAGGGUUUAUUGUGCCAAACUGAUAUAACCUGUGAAAUUCCCAUCUUUAUACACAUAAUAUCUUUGUUUGUCACCGGGGCUUCCUUUGCCCUCUUUCAGCAUACGUCUUCUCUAUUUUAGCUUGUCACAAUUGAUGGUCGCAGUUUAAAGAAAUAGUUGCAGUGGGACAAUUUUUCAGCUAUGAAGAUGUUGUAGAAACUGCUAGAUAUAUAUAUAUAUAUAUAUAUAUAUAUAUAUAUAUAUAUAUAUAUAUAUAUAUAUAUAUAUAUAUAUAUAUAUAUAUAUAUAUAUAAAUAUUGAUUGUGUUCAAUUGGAAUUGAUUGGGAAUUACAUGUUGAUGUUAAUGCUUGGCUUGAAGCAUUUAGUGCUCAUCCCCAAAUCGGUUUAUCUCCUUCCUCUGCC